CCAUGACUAAAAACUAUAUUAAAUCAAUGAUUUAUGGCAUCUUCUGAUAACUAUUCUCUGGUCAGAUUGUGUGCCAGGAACCAUGUUAAAGUGCAAGGGACCUUUAGGAGUUCCACUGAUCCCUGAACCAUCAAAGGGAAUAUAGACCUGCCCAAGGACAUCCAGUGGUUGUUCUUGUCCUUUUGAGGAUUGAAGUAAACCUCCAUCUCUCCCUGCCCUUUUCCCUUGAGGAUGAAUGUGCAGCAAGCUGUUGAUAGCAAUGUCACUUGCCAUGAGCCUCCUUAUACUGUCUAGCUAGCCUCUUCCUGAGCUUUGAUGAUUUCUGGCCAAAUAUAUGAUGAUGGACUAUUUACCUCACUCUGGAGUUUGAGACUCUUGUCCAGAUUCUGCCCCCUUGGGCAGUUCAGGAACCAAUCAACCACUUGGCCGUGGCAACCCAGAAAGCAUCGUCAAUUGCUUUGGAAUAGGUUGAUUGCACCCAGAAAGUGCCCUUUCCGCUGUCCCCAUCAAGUGUGUUUGCAGUUCCAUUUUCCUCUUUGAGUCAGCUCUUCUGUUACUGGGCUCAUGUUUCUUUCUUUUUUUCUUUCUUUUUUUUUUAAUUUUCCAAAUUAUAAACCUUUUUUUCUAUUUGAAGCGUUCCAAAAACAAAAGCACCUGCUCAUUUUUUAAAUCUACCCCUUAAGUAAUGGUAACAUAAUAUGUAUUUUUUAAAAUAUUUUUAAAUUAAAAUUUUUUUUAUUUUUUAAUUUACAUCCAAGUUAGUUAGCAUAUAAUGCUAUAAUGAUUUCAGGAGUAGAUUCCAGUGAUUCAUACCCUAUGUAUAACAGCUAGUGCUCAUCCUGACAAGGCCCCUUGUGCAUUUAGCCCAUCCUCCCUCUCACAACCCCUCCAGCAACCUUCAGUUUGUUCUCUGUGUUUAAGAGUCUCUUAUGUUUUGUCCCCCUCCUUGUUUUUAUAUUGUUUUUGCUUCCCUUCCCUUGUGUUCAUCUGUUUUGUAUCUUAAUUUCUUCAUAUGACUGAAGUCAUAUGAUAUUUGUCUUUCUGUGACUAAUUUUGCUUAGCAUGAUACCGUCUAGUUCUAUCCACAUAGUUGCAAAUGGCAAGAUUUCAUUCUUUUUGAUUGCUGAGUAAUACUCCAUUCUAUAUAUACCACAUCUUCUUUAUCCAUUCAUCCGUCGAUGGACAUUUGGGCUCUUUCCAUAUUUUGGCUAUUUUCAAUAGUGCUGCUAUAAACAUUGGGGUGCAUGUGCCCCUUUGAAAGAGGGCUCGUGUUUCUUGAUGGGGUCUGUGUUUUCCGAGGCCUUCAGAAGUGGCUCUUUCUAUCCAGUUUGGGUGCUAGGCUGAGAACCCACCCUUGUGUUCUGUGCUUUGUGUCUUUGGCAGGUCAGAGCCUCCUUGGUCUUGUCUCCCCCAUGCUUGUGUCUACAACAAAUGUGAGGAGAAGCAUACCAAUGAAUCACCACACUGUAGGGUGCCCAUGCCCACUGCUUUGGCAGCCCCAGUCAACAGAUUCUGUAGCGCAGUCUUUGUCAGCAGCACUGCUACUGAAGGCAGCCAACAAGUACCACUAAUAUGCGCAUGUGACCUGAAAAUUACAAUGUAAAUGGCAAGGCAACACAUGUAUAGGAAGGCAAAUUUUAAUUAAAAGUGUGUUCUCUGACUCA
RNAcentral lists this long non-coding RNA (1664 nucleotides) under Lynx pardinus (Iberian lynx). Lineage: Eukaryota; Metazoa; Chordata; Mammalia; Carnivora; Felidae. The record is from RNAcentral.